UGUAUUCUAUAGACUUUGGUAAACCUUCAGCCCAGUCUGAGGUCCUGAGCACUUUGGAGAAAACACUACCACAGCAUGAUGCUGCCACCACACUUCACUGUUGGGACUGUAUUGAACAGGUUAAACUCUACUGACCAGGCUGGCUGUGAGAGAAGGUGCAGAUUUUCCCAAGGUCUGCGAGCGCAUGCGCACAAGGUUGGUGGUCUCCGAGCUUGAGGCUGACCAUGACUGCUGGGCAUAUGGCAACAGUGCUAAACUGGAGCCAAGAGAAGAAACCUCUGGGUUGCUGAACUUGCGGAAGGACACGGAGGGGGGAAAGAGGAUAUUAUCCGGCUGGAAGAAAGAGAAGAUCAACAUGAAGUUCAAUCUGGCAAUCAUUACAGGAAUAGGAGUGUUUACAACAGAUGUAACACAGGGCUGCAUAUCAAGUACUGACAAACCUUUACAUUUAUCAUUAUUUAAUAGCUUGCAUUGGUUCUAAGACGUUCUUCCUGUAUUCAGCUAACACUGCUGUUAUUUUGUUAAACUGUUAAAUACCUGCGAAUGUAAUUUUACAUUGACUAAAUUUUCAACCUUAACAUCUGAUACUGUUAAAUCCCCCACCGUGUUAUCGCUGUAAUUGUUGUUUUAUUUAUAUAAAUGCCAUGUUAUAUAACCAACUAUUUCCUCCACUUUCAGUUAAUUUCUGGCUACCCUUUCACCCCUUCCAGCUCACAAUGAACAAAACAAGCUUUUUUCUCUUUCUCUCGUGCAGAUGAAACAUUUGCAUGCAGGCACAACUAAGGGCUUUUUCCACCUCAAGUGAUUAUAUGUUAAAUAGAAACAUUGUUGGAGAAAUCAAAGACAACUGUUUAUAAAGAAUGUAGAUUGGGCAGAAUCUAAAUAAAUCUGUUACUGCAAUA
Danio rerio (zebrafish) is the source of this 902-nucleotide non-coding RNA. Lineage: Eukaryota; Metazoa; Chordata; Actinopteri; Cypriniformes; Danionidae. The record is from RefSeq and is a predicted model, not a curated record.